Molecule: long non-coding RNA, 204 nt
Organism: Hibiscus syriacus
Lineage: Eukaryota; Viridiplantae; Streptophyta; Magnoliopsida; Malvales; Malvaceae
Exons: 2
Source: RefSeq, a predicted model, not a curated record
UCAUCCCCUUAUCUAUCCCUUUUGGAACACAGUACAGUAAAGCCAUAGAGGUGAUGGCGCUAAAUCUCUCCAACACAUUUCUCCAAAUCAAGCCUUCUCUUCCCCUUCAUUGUCCAACGGCAAGACGGUGACUGCAACGGGAGGGGGAUAGAGGCCACAGAUUACUUGCCGGAAAAAAGACAUCCACCCCGAAUUCUACGAGGA